AAUGAACGCUGGCGGCGUGCCUAAUACAUGCAAGUCGAGCGAACGGACGAGAAGCUUGCUUCUCUGAUGUUAGCGGCGGACGGGUGAGUAACACGUGGAUAACCUACCUAUAAGACUGGGAUAACUUCGGGAAACCGGAGCUAAUACCGGAUAAUAUUUUGAACCGCAUGGUUCAAAAGUGAAAGACGGUCUUGCUGUCACUUAUAGAUGGAUCCGCGCUGCAUUAGCUAGUUGGUAAGGUAACGGCUUACCAAGGCAACGAUGCAUAGCCGACCUGAGAGGGUGAUCGGCCACACUGGAACUGAGACACGGUCCAGACUCCUACGGGAGGCAGCAGUAGGGAAUCUUCCGCAAUGGGCGAAAGCCUGACGGAGCAACGCCGCGUGAGUGAUGAAGGUCUUCGGAUCGUAAAACUCUGUUAUUAGGGAAGAACAUAUGUGUAAGUAACUGUGCACAUCUUGACGGUACCUAAUCAGAAAGCCACGGCUAACUACGUG
RNAcentral lists this ribosomal RNA (497 nucleotides) under uncultured bacterium. RNAcentral describes it as "partial 16S ribosomal RNA". It matches the Rfam family "Bacterial small subunit ribosomal RNA", at positions 29 to 507 of the family's 1533-position model. The record is from RNAcentral.